ACUCCUACGGGAGGCAGCAGUGGGGAAUAUUGCACAAUGGGCGCAAGCCUGAUGCAGCCAUGCCGCGUGUGUGAAGAAGGCCUUCGGGUUGUAAAGCACUUUCAGUCGUGAGGAAGGUAGUGUAGUUAAUAGCUGCAUUAUUUGUACGUUAGCGACAGAAGAAGCACCGGCUAACUCCGUGCCAGCAGCCGCGGUAAUACGGAGGGUGCGAGCGUUAAUCGGAAUUACUGGGCGUAAAGCGCAUGCAGGUGGUUGUUAAGUCAGAUGUGAAAGCCCGGGGCUCAACCUCGGAAUAGCAUUUGAAACUGGCAGACUAGAGUACUGUAGAGGGGGUAGAAUUUCAGGUGUAGCGGUG
RNAcentral lists this ribosomal RNA (355 nucleotides) under uncultured bacterium. RNAcentral's name for it is "bacterial SSU rRNA". It matches the Rfam family "Bacterial small subunit ribosomal RNA", at positions 335 to 683 of the family's 1533-position model. The record is from RNAcentral.